Ochromonadaceae sp. CCMP2298 is the source of this 71-nucleotide non-coding RNA. Lineage: Eukaryota; Synurophyceae; Ochromonadales; Ochromonadaceae. The record is from the annotation of a GenBank genome assembly.
GGAAGAAUGGUCUAGAGGUAUGAUUCUUGCUUUGGGUGCAAGAGGUCACGGGUAUGAUCCCGUUUCUCCUC